This 643-nucleotide ribosomal RNA is filed under the name Gaetbulibacter aestuarii. Its description in RNAcentral is "bacterial SSU rRNA". It matches the Rfam family "Bacterial small subunit ribosomal RNA", at positions 65 to 707 of the family's 1533-position model. Lineage: Bacteria; Pseudomonadati; Bacteroidota; Flavobacteriia; Flavobacteriales; Flavobacteriaceae. The record is from RNAcentral.
AGGGGUAACGGGGUGCUUGCACCGCCGACGACCGGCGCACGGGUGCGUAACGCGUAUGCAAUCUACCUUAUACUGGAGGAUAGCCCAGAGAAAUUUGGAUUAACACUUCAUAGUAUGUUUACCUCGCAUGGGGAAAACAUUAAAGGUUACGGUAUAAGAUGAGCAUGCGUCCUAUUAGCUAGAUGGUGUGGUAACGGCACACCAUGGCAUCGAUAGGUAGGGGCCCUGAGAGGGGGAUCCCCCACACUGGUACUGAGACACGGACCAGACUCCUACGGGAGGCAGCAGUGAGGAAUAUUGGACAAUGGAGGCAACUCUGAUCCAGCCAUGCCGCGUGCAGGAAGACUGCCCUAUGGGUUGUAAACUGCUUUUAUACGGGAAGAAACGGCUCUACGUGUAGAGCUUUGACGGUACCGUAAGAAUAAGGAUCGGCUAACUCCGUGCCAGCAGCCGCGGUAAUACGGAGGAUCCAAGCGUUAUCCGGAAUCAUUGGGUUUAAAGGGUCCGUAGGUGGAUAAUUAAGUCAGAGGUGAAAGUCUGCGGCUCAACCGUAGAAUUGCCUUUGAAACUGGUUAUCUUGAAUUAUUAUGAAGUAGUUAGAAUAUGUAGUGUAGCGGUGAAAUGCAUAGAUAUUACAUAGAAU